Molecule: ribosomal RNA, 498 nt
Filed under: uncultured bacterium
Lineage: Bacteria
Description: partial 16S ribosomal RNA
Rfam family: Bacterial small subunit ribosomal RNA
Source: RNAcentral
GACGAACGCUGGCGGCGUGCCUAAUACAUGCAAGUCGAACGAGAGCGACCGGUGCUUGCACUGGUCAAUCUAGUGGCGAACGGGUGAGUAACACGUGGGUAACCUGCCCAUCAGAGGGGGAUAACAUCCGGAAACGGAUGCUAAAACCGCAUAGGUCUUCGAGCCGCAUGGCUUGACGAGGAAAAGAGGCGCAAGCUUCUGCUGAUGGAUGGACCCGCGGUGCAUUAGCUAGUUGGUGAGGUAACGGCUCACCAAGGCCGUGAUGCAUAGCCGACCUGAGAGGGUGAUCGGCCACAUUGGGACUGAGACACGGCCCAAACUCCUACGGGAGGCAGCAGUAGGGAAUCUUCCGCAAUGGACGCAAGUCUGACGGAGCAACGCCGCGUGAGUGAAGAAGGUGUUCGGAUCGUAAAACUCUGUUGUUAGAGAAGAACAAGUGCUAGAGUAACUGUUAGCGCCUUGACGGUAUCUAACCAGAAAGCCACGGCUAACUACGUG